GCUUGUGUAGAUUAAAAAAAUUGUAAGGCUGUUAACCUUAAGAUGCGCUGUGAUAGCGCCAUAAACA
Molecule: transfer RNA, 67 nt
Filed under: Pseudochauhanea macrorchis
Lineage: Eukaryota; Metazoa; Platyhelminthes; Monogenea; Mazocraeidea; Chauhaneidae
Description: tRNA-Asn
Source: RNAcentral